Long non-coding RNA from Macrobrachium nipponense, 4003 nucleotides. RefSeq lists it as uncharacterized. The record is from RefSeq and is a predicted model, not a curated record. The transcript is spliced from 4 exons. Lineage: Eukaryota; Metazoa; Arthropoda; Malacostraca; Decapoda; Palaemonidae.
AAAUUCACCAUAAAUCUAAAUAUUGUCCUAGAGACUUCCAAUUUCUUUCAAAAGGAAGACAAAUGAUUGAAUAUUACUAUACUGUAAGAGUAUUAGCUUACAAUUGCAGUUUUCGACCAUAUCUGACGAGUUAAAGUUGACCGAAUGUCGAAUUUUUUUAAAUAUAUAUUUUUUAUAUGCAAUUAUUUCGGAAAUAAGAAACGCUACAACCUUCAAAUAUUUUUCGUUUUAUUCUACAUAAAAUUGCCUAAUAUGAAACGGAGCAAAUAUCUUCCGAGAAUGGGACGUACGUAUUUCGGAGAUUUGUGGCGGAGAAUCCGCGCGCGGAGGGAAGGAAAGAUUUUUUUUUAAAUUCACCAUAAAUCUAAAUAUUUUGCUAGAGACUUCGAAUUUGUUUCAAGAUGAAGAUAAAUGACUGAAUAUUACUAGACUGUAAGAGUUUUAGCUUACAAUUGCGUUUUUCGACCAUUUCGGUAGAGUCAAAGUUGACCGAACGUGGUUUUUUUCUAUUUAUCGUGAUUUAUAUGCAAAUAUUUCAAAAAUGAGAAAAGCUACAACCUGCAAUUAUUUUUUGUUGUAUUCUACAUGAAAUUGCGCACAUUUUCAUUCAUAAAACUUUAUGUAACGGCUAAUUUAAAAUGGUGCAAACAUUACCACAAUCGCACGUAUGAUUUUUUCGGAAGAGUUACCGCGAGGACGUAAAGAAAAUGUUAUUUUUUUCAUAAAUUCACCAUAAAUCGAAAUAUUGUGCUAGAGACUUCCAAUUUGUUGCAAAAUGAAGGUAAAUGCUUGAAUAUUACUAGAAUAUAAGCGUUUUAGCUUACAAUUGCGUUUUUCGACCAUUUCGGUAGAGUCAAAGUUGACCGAAGGUUGAAAUUUUGGCAAUUAUCGUUAUAUAUAUGAAAAUAUCUCAAAACUGAUAAAAGCUACAACCAUGGGUUGUUUUUAGUUGUAUUGUGCAUGAAAUUGCGCACAUUUCCAUAUAUGAAACUUUAUAUAACGGCUAAUUUUAAAAUGGUGCAAACAUUACCACAAUCGCAUGUAUGAUUUUUUUCGGAAGAGUUACCGCGCGGACGUAAAGAAAAAGUUUUUUCAUAAAUUCACCAUAAAUCGAAAUAUUGUGCUAGAGACUUCCAAUUAGUUGCAAAAUUAAGGUAAAUGAUUGAAUAUUACUAAAAUAUAAGAGUUUUAGCUUACAAUUGCGUUUUUCGACCAUUUCCGUAAAGUCAAAGUUGACCGAAGGUUGAAAUUUUGGCAAUUAUCGUUAUGUAUAUCAAAAUAUCUCAAAACUGAUAAAAGCUACAAUCAUGUGUAUUUUAUUGUUGUAUUCUACAUAAAAAUGCGCACAUUUCCAUAUAUAAUACUUCAUGUAACGGCUAAUUUACAAUGGUACAAAAAUUACGUCAAAGUGACGAAAUAAUUUCCGAGAUGUGUCACAGAUACUUUUUAGUGCGGCAAGAAAGAAAUUCGCGCUUGCGCGCCUGCGUAACGAUUGUAAACAAAACAACACCUUGAUACCGUGAACUUCCAGCAUCCCCCAAGGCGCGUGAUUCAAAAGUUUUCGGCUGUUAGGCCUAUAAGUAUUUUUCCGCGAAUUUAAAAAAAAACUUUUUAAAGUCGACGUCAAAAUAUGUCCAGUCGGCACACGGGAGACAAAAAAUGUCGACGUAAAAUACGUCCAGUCGGCGUAAGAGGGUAACUAAUAAACCCUUCAGACCAGCCCGAUGAGAGUUGCAGGUGUUAAGUGGGGCUUUGGUUAAACUCUUCAAUAAUAAUAAUAUAUCCUUCAUAGAAUGUAGGCCAAAGGCCAGGCACUGGUACCUAUCAGGUCAUUCAGUGCUGGACAGUAAGAGGGCUUUAAAGGUGUAACAGGAGGAAAACCUGGCAGUUUCACUAUGAAACAUUUGUUAGGGGUGGGUGGAAAGUAGUAUGGAAGAAAGAAAAUAUGAAUGGAGGUACAGUAAAAGGAAUGAAAGAGGUUGCAGCUGAGGUCUGAAAGGACGUUCCGGUUGCAUAGUAAAACCCUUGAGCUUCUGACCAUUGAUAGUUGACCAGAAUCGACUGUAAUAAUGUCAAGAGAAGAAAGUGUUUUCUCAGCCAUCCAAAUUGAUAACUUGAUUUAAAGUGCACAGGCUUAGUAACUUGGGUUGCGUUUUAUAACACUUACAUGUUAGCUUUGUGCGUAUAUGUACAGUACAGGCAGUCCCCGGGUUACGACGGUCUCAGCUUACAACGUUCCGAGGUUACGACGCUUUUCAAUUAUAUUCAUCAGACAUUAUUUCCAGGGUUACGACACAUGUUCCAGGGUUAUGACGCAUGUUCCAGGGUUAUGGCGCCUACAACGCUCAUCUGGCAGAUGAAAUCACCAAAAAUGCAAAAUAAUCAAUAUUUGAAGUUUUUUUAUGAAAAAUGCCAUAAGAAUGCAGUUUACAUAGUUUUCAAUGCACCCAAAGCAUUAAAAGUAAGGUUUUCUUUGGAUUUUUGACAACGUUCCGGCUUACGACGAUUUUCGGCUUACGACGCAUCUCAAGAAUGGAACCCCCGUGUUAACCCGGGGACUGCCUGUAAUUUGAUAAUUGGCUGUGAUGUAUAGUGUUAAUUAGUAGUUGUAAUAAUAUCCAGUGACUUGAGCAGUUUUAAUGUUUUUGUUCUUGACCAGAUCACCAACUCUUAAAGUGAGUAUAAUGUUGUAUGAAAUACUGUAAUUCCUGUUAAAGUAUUUGUUUUAUGCUCUAUAAUGAUUCAUGUGCAAGGAUGCAAAUGUUAUGGCCAGUUUUCUAUGGGAAUUUGAAUGUUAGCCUUAUAUCUUGAAUAUGUUCUAACCUACAUCAUUUGAGCUGUUAUUGAGGAUUGAAUAAAUGUAUUUAGUACAGUCUUCAGAAAUCAUACCAGAAGUACAGUAAUACUGUACAUUAUGUAUAAUAUAAACUAGAGAUAUUUUCAUUAAUUUUUUGGAUUUAAUAAAAUUUUAUAAGACUAACACAGGUAACCUGCUGUAUUGAGGAGGAAUAAUUGAUGAAUCUGCUUUGGAUAAUUUGUAAUCCAUAUCCACAAGUCAUAUGGAGAUUAAUGAUGCGCCAAGAUCCAGUUGCACAGCGCUUACCAUAUUGAGCUGGACAAACUCUCGUGGGUUGUCUUCAAUACUUGCCAAGAAAUGCCUCAAAGGUAACCUGCUGUAUUGAGGAGGAAUUGUUGACAGAUCUGUUUUAGAUAAUUUGUAACCCAUAUCCACAAGUAAUAUGGAUAUUAAUGGUGCGCCAAGAUUGAGUUGCACAGUGCUUACCAUAUUGAGCAGGACAAACUCUUGUGGGCUGUCUUCAAUACUUGCCGGGAAAUGCCUGAAAGGUAACCUGCUGUAUUGAGGAGGACUGAUUGAUGAAUCUGCUUUGGAUAAUUUGUAAUCCAUAUCCAUAAGUAAUAUGGAGAUUAACAGUGCUCCAAGAUCAGUUGCACAGCUCUUACCAUACUGAGCUGGACACACACUUGAGGGCUGUCUUCACUACUUACCAGGAAAUGCCUCUUAAGAUUUAUCCUGCUAGUGCGACCCAGAUAGAGCAAGAGAGAGAGAGAGAGAAAGAGAAACCUAAGUGAUAUAUCAAGAGCAAGAGAGAGAAAGUAACCCAGGUGAAAUCAAGAGAACGAGGAGAGGCAAGAGGAUCGCUGGUAUCCUUCAUAACCUAAAUAAGAAGCCGAUAAUCCAGGGCAUAAAUAAAAAAAAGCUUCUGGACGCACAACUUUAUACACGGAAUUUUUUUUUUGGUGGGGGGUGGGGGCACCUGUUGACGUGGGACCUGGACUGGCUGAGCGGUUUGGAAUGAAUCUCCUAUUGUUAGUUACUCUUUUAUAUUCGUAAUUGUUGUAAUGCUCUGUUAUUCUCAUUGUAAUGCCAUUUCUUUAAGCAAUAAACAAUUUUUCAUAUAAACUGAAUUUUUAUUUCUUCAUAAUUUGAAAGAUGGAGAAACUAUCAAUAUUGGGACAGAGAAACAAAGGAAAAUAUACUGAG